Molecule: small nucleolar RNA, 132 nt
Organism: Apodemus sylvaticus (European woodmouse)
Lineage: Eukaryota; Metazoa; Chordata; Mammalia; Rodentia; Muridae
Product: small nucleolar RNA SNORA17
Exons: 1
Source: RefSeq, a predicted model, not a curated record
CCUGCCCCUAGAAGCAUUGCAGGUAAGGCUGCUGUGUCACAUGUGCGUCAGUAGGUGGCAGAAAGGAGAAAGGCUAUGUCUAAGUUGAGCAUUCUGACCUUUGACCAUCUGAAUGAUUAGUAGCCAAAGUGA